UACGAAGGGGGCUAGCGUUGUUCGGAAUUACUGGGCGUAAAGCGCACGUAGGCGGAUCCUUAAGUCAGGGGUGAAAUCCCGAGGCUCAACCUCGGAACUGCCUGUCAGACUGGAAGGCUUGAGACCGGGAGAGGUGAGUGGAAUUCCCAGUGUAGCGGUGAAAUGCGUAGAUAUCAGGAGGAACACCGGUGGCGAAGGCGGGUCUCUGGGCAGUAACUGACGCUGAGGAGCGAAAGCGUGGGGAGCGAACAGG
This 253-nucleotide ribosomal RNA is filed under the name uncultured bacterium. Its description in RNAcentral is "partial 16S ribosomal RNA". It matches the Rfam family "Bacterial small subunit ribosomal RNA", at positions 524 to 776 of the family's 1533-position model. The record is from RNAcentral.